CAGUCGCCGCGGUAAUACGGAGGGUGCAAGCGUUAAUCGGAAUUACUGGGCGUAAAGCGCACGCAGGCGGUCUGACAAGUCAGAUGUGAAAUCCCCGGGCUUAACCUGGGAACUGCAUUUGAAACUGUCAGGCUGGAGUCUUGUAGAGGGGGGUGGAAUUCCAGGUGUAGCGGUGAAAUGCGUAGAGAUCUGGAGGAAUACCGGUGGCGAAGGCGGCCCCCUGGACAAAGACUAACGCUCAGGUGCGAAAGCGUGGGGAGCAAACAGGAUUAGAUACCCGCGUAGUCCCUGUCUCUUAUAC
Molecule: ribosomal RNA, 301 nt
Filed under: uncultured bacterium
Lineage: Bacteria
Description: partial 16S ribosomal RNA
Rfam family: Bacterial small subunit ribosomal RNA
Source: RNAcentral